ACGGGUAUUUCAGUAAGUUACCGACGCUCCCACCCCCAAGUUACCCCAUGUAUUUUUUAAACCUAUUUAUUUUUUAGCUUGAUUGCAUCGAAAGCAUAUGGCUUAUAUAAACGCUCUCGAGUCUGUUUGCUGGGCCUAGAACCAGUACUUGGUGUCUUGGGGGAGAUCUAAAGAACGCUCCCACGUAGGGGAUCGAACCCAUGACCUCUUGGUCGCUAGGCGGACACCAUAUCCAUUACACCACAGCCACCCCAUGUAUUUGCGAUAUCAGUAAAACAUUACACUUCUACAAUGGCAUUUAUUAAUAUGGAUAAUUAAAAUAUAAUUUUGUUUGUUACUGAUACAAACUAGCACUACACACUGGAGAUUUUGUUAAGUUAUGCAAAGCAGGUAUCAACAUUUCAUGUAAUUUUACAUAUAAACAAUCUGUUGGGUCAUUUUCUAACAUAAAUUAACGUUCUGUUACAGAAUUUCAGUAAUUCUACACAUUGGAGCCUCCACUCACACUUGUCAAGAUCAGGUCUUGGCUUUGAAAAUGUUCUGACCUCUGCGAGGGUCCCCGCCCCACUGCCACUCAGACUUGGGUAUGAAAUACGCUGGAGAGCCGGCCAGCGUCCCGUCAUCUCGCAGCAGGGCCUUCUUCAUGGCAUCACAGUCCAUGUCUACGCAGUCCGCUGGGUUGAUCUUACUGUAGUUCAGUGCAAACACAGUUUGUAACAGUUCAUCACUUAAAAGGCUUAGCGAUAUAGAAUGUGAAAGAUAGUCUGCUUAAACAUUAAGGAGGCAAAAGAAAAUCUGCUUAGAAAUUUAGAAGGUGAAAAGAAAAUCUGCUUAGCAAUUUAGAAAGUGUUGUUUGAUGAAAAGUGUAUACAAAAAGAAAAAAGGAUGUCACAAAAGCUCUCACAGAGAUCUUGUGCUAAGAUGAGUUAAACAAAAUGAGAAAUACUCAUUUUCAUGCAUUAAAAUGGGAUUACUCUUGUAGUUUUUUCCUGUAGUUCAAGUGGAAACACAGUUAGUUAAUCCAAAAAACAAGAAAUACAAAUAUACUUACAUUAAAACAGUAUAAAUUAUGAUUGAUAAAUAAGUCAGCUUUGUUAAAUUCAUUGUAGAAUCCUGCAUACUUACCCAACAGUUGGUCGUGGGUAGUACAACAGGAAGUUGUCAUCCACAUCCACUUUUAGAUUGGAAGAGGAUGACAAAUAAAAUUGAAGAUCGUCAUUAUUAGUGCUGAGAGAUAGGGCGUACGAACACUGUCCAAAGUGUGCAAACACGGUUCCUGGAAAAGUAUCCACGAAAUUGUGUAUACAAAUUAAUACAAUAAGCAUGGUCAUUUAGACAUUUAUAAUAAAGCUGUACCCUCUAAAGAACUUGUUUUGAUGCAGAAGAUCCUUAGUAUUAGAAAAUCAACGACGAUACUUUGUGCAUAUUUUUUUGGAAAUUCCAAAAAUUCAAUUUCAAAGAAUAGUAUCCCAUCUUAUAUUUCAAAUCCUUUUUUUUUUAAAUUUCUAUAUAAAAAUAAAUAAAUAAAUAAAUAACCAAAUAAAUUCAUGCAUUUUUAAAUAUAUACAUAAAUGUUACUUUUUUACCUGUUACACUCCCUCCUCCACAGAUUGGGUUGUAACUCAUAAUGUUCCCGCAUGGUUUAAAGGGAGCACCAUUGCCGCCACCAGUUAUCUGGGGGAAUAGUAGACCCAAACGGGCUCCAUUUGGCCCCUUAUCUCCUCGACAAUGCCCGCUGUUGGUCAUGUAAACUCCGCUCGGUGACUGCAUAUUGGCGCAAUUAUCGGUCGACCCGAUCAAAAUGCUGUCUGUGACAUCCACUCUCUGGUCACCACAUUCAUGGGUUAGCGGGUUUGGACCAAUAACCAUAGGGAAAAUGCUAACCUGAUUAUCUGCCACAAUGAUUUUAUGAAGAUUUACAUUCAGGUCAUUCUGGUAGUAGAACCCAUAAUCAAUACUACGGAAAGCAGCUAUGUCCGAGAUUCGAACGCAUGUUUGGGUAUCUUUCUGUUUCAGAAUGUCCUCCUUGGGGGGAGGGAAGACCCCGUAGCCCAUUAGGUUGCCCACAGCGUAGUUCAGCACUGCAGGGGUAUAGGGGUCAUCGCAGUCCUGGCCAGGCACCCUGUAGCCAACACGCUCUGAGCCGGCUACAUAAUUGUCAGCCAUGUGGAGACCGUGCGAGCCUAUGGCGUAUAUACCCGCCUCGUAGCGAAUGUUAAAGGGCUCAUUGCGUCCAUCAUAAGAUCCAGUCCACAAAAGCGGGAAAGGGUUAAAUGUGGAACACAUACAUGUAUGCUGGUACUUGAGUGGACUUGUCAGUGUAACUGUUCCCGCAGCUGAGUCAACAGAAGCUAUGUUCACUGUCUCCAGCUCAGUAGGAAUCAGAGAGGUAGAUGUCACAACCACCGUAUCACCAGCCCUCCACAGUUUGAUGUCAUCGCCAGUCACUUUCAGAAUGGUGUCCCCUAUGUUUGCCGUCUGCGUCAGGAGCGUGUAACUCUCGCCGACAUCUCGACCGUGUAAUUCCAGACCGCCAAAAACAGCUGUGUGGAGUAAUACAUUUGUUAACAAUUGAGAUUGGAAAGUGAACAUUUUUCUACAGUCAUUUAGACAUUUUGCCAUUUAAAGUACUAGUUAUGCUAUGGAAUAGAAUUGUGGAGUUUAGCUGUAGCAAGGUCUGAUAAUUGUAUUAUAUCUUAUAUCUUGAAGCCUAAAUAUUUACAGAUUUCAUAUUCGGAUUACAAAUGAAAGAUGUGUUAUGUAAUGAAUUAUCGUAAAAUAUUGCAACAAAUGUAACAAUUGGAUUCAAAGUGUUUAAAUUGGUUACAAACCAAUAGCUUUGUUCCCAAUGGCGAUGCCUUCGAUCUCGGUGUAGGCAGGUGACAUUGCAUUGCCUAACAACACAAUAUUGGCUGUUCCAAGCAUGGGGUUGUUAGGCCAACCUACAUGGAAGCGACCCCCAAUGAUGAUGAGGAAUUUGACCUUGAACUCAUACGUGACCCCCUCAGAGUUGUAGUCUAUUUCAAGGCCUCCUUCUACGCGAACUGUGCCAAGCUCAAUUGCUGUAGUAGUCUUUAUAACAAUCCAUUUGUCUGCAAUUUUGAUAGCCAUGUAUUUAUUUUUUUCCAAUAUUUAGUUAUAACUGUAACUUUUGUUUUAUGUUAGUUAUUAACACUGUAUGAGGUUAUCACCUGGUGCUCCUUCUUUUAAAGCUGUGACCAUCAUAUUUAUAAAUAUGUAUAUGUGUCACUGUUAUUUAUUAUUGUCACAUGUAAUUUGAGUGUUGUGAAGUAAAGAACAAAGAUAGUUGAACCAUUAAGCGUUUCGAAGUGUAAGUCGACUGAAUGUGGACUUCAACUAUACUUUUCAUCCAUAUUACUGUAACAAUCAAUUCGCUUUACAACUUUACCAUUUUAAUUAUUUUCAAAUUUUCAUACCCUCAGUAAUGAGCACAUUCUCUCCAGUGGCAGGCAUGACCCCAGUGCCGUUGCUUCGAACAAGUCCAGCCUGGUCACGCGUCCAGAUAUCCUCGUUCCAGAGAUUAAAGGGGUUGGGUCGCUCAGUAGGGGGCUCUUGUUUGUCUUUGGGUGUUGGUGGGACACAGCCGGCAAAGUAACACUUCUCUAUCUUCAUGUCCAGCUUGAUAUCAGUAUUGAACACACGGACACUACCCCUCUUGCUUCGGGCAGGACCAGUUACUUUAACAACAAAAUGUGUCAUAGUUUACACAGUUUACACACAGCUUUAUAUGAUAUGCCUUGUUACUAAAAAUUAUUGAAUACAGUCAUCUUUAUUUCAAGAAAACAUAAUUUGGCAGUUCAACUAAUACUCAAAAUAUUAUGUUCACCUGCGAAUUCCACAUGGUUAUUGGCCGGAUUGAACCACCAGUCCCCGGAGGAAGGUCCCUGUGCGCAGGUGAACUGGGCUGCAGACUGGUUUUUUCCUGUUUGUCCAUUCAGGGCGACAAUAUCUGGUUUUUCUAGAACUCUCAAUGUGAGGAUGAGACAAUCACCAGCCUAGAAUACAAACAAAAGAAGUAAUUCCAUUGGAAAGGUGAUUACCUCCAGCUCGUUUAUCUGCCCAGUGAAAGAGAUGUUCGUCAUUUCCUCUGCACCUUCAAAUGUAAUCGUCGUCGUCUCACCACCCAUGAGGACGGCCAUCCAGCCAUCUUUAUGUGUGAUACGUUUGACUCGAAAGAAGCCCACGCUCGAGCCAUGCUGGCUAGUCAGGGUCAAAUUCUUUCCCUUAAGUGAUGCCGGUUUAAUAUUGUUAAAGGCCAGGCGGUGGAAUUUGACGGUGGCCGGACAUACUAGAGGUUCCAAGAACUCCAUAUCAUUAUUUUUGAAUUUUCCGGUGCAGUUUGCGGAACAACCGGGAGCGUUAUAAUAUGUUUCCCAGUUAGGCAGUACUUUAGAGUUUGGUGUGCCGCAGAGUGACCCAUCGGUGUCCUCUAUGAUUCCCUCAUGAGCCCAUCUGAAGUGGAUACGGUAGGGUGUAUUUUCGAAUUGUAAGCCUGAUGUCUGAUAGUUAAAACCACCGCAUUUGUCACUGCACGUACCAUCAAUCUUUGUAAACUUUAUGGCAACAGCAGAGUCCCCAUUUGCA
Molecule: long non-coding RNA, 4605 nt
Organism: Dreissena polymorpha
Lineage: Eukaryota; Metazoa; Mollusca; Bivalvia; Myida; Dreissenidae
Exons: 4
Source: RefSeq, a predicted model, not a curated record